AUUACAGGCGUGAGCUACCACGCCCGGCUAGAGGGAAAAAAAAGGAAAAGCCAUCAGCAAUACCAAGGGAAACCGUAAGCUAAGUCCAGAAUGCCUCCUUUCUGCCUAAAUGCCUCUGAUCUUCAUUUGAUCAUCAUCAGCUGCAGACCCAUGAGCCACUGGGCCUGACCUGGGAGACACCGGCCCUCCGCUUCCAGCGCUCUCCAGCUCGGAUUUCCUGCAGAACAGUGGCAAAGCGUUCGCCCAGAGCUGCGUCCCCUCACUGGAAAGCAGCGCUGAGUCAGGGUUACCUGGCUCCCCUGUACCCCCAGCGAGGUGAAAUUGUACCAUCAAAUUCUCACAACAACAUUGGUUCUCCUUUAAGGAUAAGGAGGCUACCGCCCAAAGAGCUUGUGCACUGGGUGCACAGCCACUCAGGCCAUCUUCCAGAGCGGGAUGUCUGACUCCAGAGCCCGCCAGCCCACACUGCUCUCCUGAGGACUGGGUUUCUCUGGCCUGAGUCUGCCCGAGUGUACAGGAAGAACCCUGCUGGCACCCCAGUAAGCCCCUCUAGACCUUGGGGCUCUAACUGCUCUCAGAGCUCACUUUUCAGUUAGCCUAUAAGGCAGGGGUGUCCAGUCUUUUGGCUUUCCUUGGCCACAUUGGAAGAAGAAUUGGCUUGUGUCACACAUAAAAUACAAUAACACUAAUGAUAGCUGAUGAGUUAAAAACAGUGAAAAAUCACA
Cercocebus atys (sooty mangabey) is the source of this 725-nucleotide long non-coding RNA. RefSeq lists it as uncharacterized. The record is from RefSeq and is a predicted model, not a curated record. The transcript has 3 exons. NCBI's taxonomy places the organism in Eukaryota, Metazoa, Chordata, Mammalia, Primates, Cercopithecidae.